AGGCCUGGAGAGAAAGGCAGUGUCUGAUUCGCAGCCUCCAUGGCAGCUGUUGAUCAGCCCUUGCCUCUCUCUUUCUCUCCA
Myotis brandtii (Brandt's bat) is the source of this 81-nucleotide non-coding RNA. Lineage: Eukaryota; Metazoa; Chordata; Mammalia; Chiroptera; Vespertilionidae. The record is from Rfam.